GAUUCAGAAUCCAUGGCUGGAAGAGGUAGUAAGGCCAUUGGGAGGGGUCUCCAUUCUGAAAUUUCCAUUCAGG
This is an unclassified non-coding RNA of Pan paniscus (pygmy chimpanzee), 73 nucleotides long. Lineage: Eukaryota; Metazoa; Chordata; Mammalia; Primates; Hominidae. The record is from Ensembl.